Molecule: long non-coding RNA, 3558 nt
Filed under: Salmo salar (Atlantic salmon)
Lineage: Eukaryota; Metazoa; Chordata; Actinopteri; Salmoniformes; Salmonidae
Description: lncRNA (ENSSSAG00000094438.1)
Source: RNAcentral
AUAAUAGAAAUCAGUGUCUCUCAGAGAGAUGUUCCACUUAGUCUCCCGCUACCUGCCUGCCCGCCUGGAAGGAAGCGACAGAACCAGUCGAGAUCUACUCAGUGCCUGCAGAACAGGGAAUGAAAGGAACGGUCUAACCACAGGAUGAGCUCCAGUCCCAUUGGACGCCUGCAGGGGAGGACCAAUGAACUGAGCUCUACAACACACUGCCCAUUGACUCAGGAAGGGAACACUUUCCACCCCAGCCUGCUCUUACUGAACCAUUCCCUACUGCUCUCCUCUCUGGGACCAUCUGUUACUGUGUCAUGGGCCCCCUCCAAAGCCAGUGUAACUUAGUUUCCUAUAUUUGGUCUCUUGUUCGUUUCUGUGCCACAUAUCCCAAAGUAUGUGUGUAUAUUUAAAGGGGCAUUCUGCAGUUGCUACAUCCAUUUCUGGAUGUACUCAUUGAUUCUUGAAUACUAUAUAUGCCUCAGCUUAGUUCAACUGUCAUGCCCCAUCAGAACCCAAAACAUAAGCUUGUUUUACUCCAAAGUUUACAAACAAAGUAUGUUUAAACAAAUGCUAUAUAGCCUCAAAACAUGGUUAAAACUAUAAUUUUGAUAUCAAGGAUGGUCAGUCCUUGCAUCCAUAGCUCAUAGCCUAUGAGUUUGAGAAUGGUUACAUUUCUCCAGCCCCAUCCCUCAGUUCUUUACCAAAAUAGGGAGAGAACGCUUUAUUGUUUCAACUACGGAUUAUCCCUUUAAGCUUGGGACACAUAGCAACAUUUGGAACCAAAGUUUUGUCAUUGGAUUCUAUUGAGAAACCCUGAAGCCAGUGAAUGUGACCAAAUGUGACAAACUCCUUUUGUCCAAUGGCAUAUUUUACAAGAAAAACAAGUAUUGCUAAAAGUCAUUUGCAAUUGUUCCCGACAGGUUUCUCCGCUCCGUCGCUAAACUAAACUGUAUUCUGAGUUGAUUUGGUGCAUUCAGAACAGGCUUUUUUGCAUGAGAAAAGCAAGUUUAAACCACCCUAAACCAACUCAGUCCUCGUUAAAUUUCCCCAUUCAACUCUGUGACAUAUCCUGUCCUUGGCCUAUUAGUGAUAACAGCCAAUACAGUUCAAUGAUAAAGCUUGUUCUCCCAUCUUCUCAACCUCUGAGGGGAAAAAAGGAAAAGAAAUGGGUGGAAAAAGCCAGUCAGGUCUGUUUGAACAUUCACUUGAGGUGGAGAAUUAAUCAACCAUAGUGAAUGAUGUUUUCUUUUCAACCCCCCCCUCCCAUUCUCUUUUUCUUUUUGAAAUGCUUUUGUUCAAAACGUCAACCACAUCACCGAUUGUAAAUCGCUCUCGGAUGGCUGAGGAAAGUCUGAUUUUAAUGGUUUAUAGUGCUGGGACGGGGGUAUGGGGGAGAGAAAUCGAGAGGAUAAAAUAAAGUGUGGGGGUAGGUAGGGUGGGGGGUGAGUGGGGAAAUACCCACGAUGCCCAUGUUUCAUUCAUACUGAGUAUAGGGCCGCUCCACCAUCGCUCCCUGGCUCUAGUUUCAUUUAAAUGGAAAUCAAUCGUGCCCGGUGAACAAAAGCUUUAGGGCCGAGGUGCUGGCUGGCUUAUUUCUUACUCUGCAUUACAGAGAAAGGAUGUUUUUUUGGCAGGGGUCAGAGGAGAGGGGGAGUUGGACAUGUUGUGCUUCGGCAUGACAGGGCUAUUCAUUUGUUGCGUUAUCAUGAGGGAACAAGGGUUGUUGUGAGUGUGAGUGAAUUACACCCAAGAUCAAGUAGUGUUGAAAUCACUGGGUCUGUCAAAACAGCGUGCGCACUGUCUUUCUCCACUCAACCUUACCGCUGUGAUGUCAUCAGCUGGGGAUGGGCUUGGCUUGGCUCCAGGCUGUACAGAAACACCUGUGUGUUAUUAGCGCCUCCAUCACAUUUUGUGUUAUCUGGUUCACUCAAUCAGAAUUGUCCCAAUCUGUUUAAGUUGAUAAAAUUCAAUUAGUAGCUGGUGCUACUAAUAGUGAGAAACAGAUUUUAAAUGCACACGGUGUGGUAUGUGUGUGUCUGCACUCUGCAGGUGUUUGCGUUUGGGGAGAUUGUGUAUGUGGGGUUUGAUUGAAGCAUCACAACUAGCCCCGUAAGCCUUUCUUAGAUGUAGUCUAGCUCUGACAGCAUUUCAAAAGGAGAAUAAUUUGCCAUACAUUUAAAAGAACAAAACAACUUUCACUUACCCUUUGUUUACUGACCACAGUCACAUUCAAGAAAGCCUUUUUCCAUACUCAUAAAUACCAUGAGAAAUACCCUUCACCUACAAAGCAGAUGUGGUUACGAGUCCGCGACUAGUCUCACUAUAAGAUGAGGUUUGCAUAGAACAGUUUUUCUUGUUCACGAUACAAAGUACAUCUAAAAACCGUUCAAGAAAGCAUGUUGAAUAAGCCAUGAACCAAACAAAGUGCAAAAAUCCUAAAAUAAUUGGUUUGACCUGUGUAAUGCUCUGUACAUUCAGCUACACUCGCACAUCUCCAUGGAAUUAUGCUCCUUCAAAGCCACAAAGCGUUGUUAUUGUGAAUGCAUCAAAACUGAUUGUCCUUCAUUUAUUUCUUCCAGGCCUUACGUUGAAAAGGGUAUGAAAUGUUCAAAUAUUGGAAAACAUAUUGUAUUUUCAAAUGAGCUCCAUGGGCUUUUUCAGCUGUGCAAAAGUUUCUCUAGGCCCAUUUUUCAUCUAAUCUUUAUUUUUUUGUCAAGAGAAAGCAUUACCGAUUUCAGCCAAUCCCUGACACCGUCAGACAUGGCUCUCCAAGAGCCUUAACUUAUUAUACAAAAGUCCUUACACCACCCCCCCUCCAAAAAAAACGGUUGUGCAUUCUGUCUUUUGAUGAAAAUAGGAAAAUGUAUCAACCAGCAGAUUUUGUUUGAGGAGCUUGAUGCAUUUCAGGGAUGAUGGGUCCUCUGCACAGCAAUACAUUAUGCAAAUGUCUUCCAAUUUAUUUUUUUUGACAAGUAGCUUGGUGUAUUAUUAUAUUGUUAUGAAAUGUCCUAUUGUAAACUCAAUAUUCAAAUGAUAAUUUUGUCUUUUAGUUAAGCACACGUCUUCAUCAGUACUCAAUCAAUGGUGAUAAACCCUGUACAUUCUGUUUGCUCAGGAUCAUUAACUGUUAACGUACAGUAGCAAAGUGUUUCUACAAUACUCUAUAUCUCAUCCAUUCCUAUGUCUAUGAAUCUGAGUGUGUUUUAGAAUAACGAGACCUGCACUAAAAGUGUAAUCUUGCUGUUCUACUUGUCCUGUAGGUUUCCACAGCCCACACAUUCUCCAAUCAUUCAAUUUGGACUAGCAUUACUCAUGUUCUGUAUAUGGCUCUUCUAUAUCAUGGGUUAUGACUAUUUUUACAUUAAAUGUGUUCUGCUAUGCUUUGUCUCGGCGUGAAUGCUUCACAAUAUGCCAUAUGGACACAGAGCUGGUACACUAUGUGGCAUAAUCCAGAGUUUUGCUCAUUUAAAUUGUAAAUUGUACAAUGAAAAGCCACUAAGAAGCUUAAAAUAACUUUCUACUAAAACAUUUUGUCAGUCUGUUUUCUGAGUAAAGAACAUGCUGGAA